AACGAACGCUGGCGGCAGGCCUAACACAUGCAAGUCGAACGCCCGUAGCAAUACGGGAGUGGCAGACGGGUGAGUAACGCGUGGGAACGUGCCCUUCGGUUCGGAAUAACUCAGGGAAACUUGAGCUAAUACCGGAUACGUCCGUAAGGAGAAAGAUUUAUCGCCGAAGGAUCGGCCCGCGUCGGAUUAGCUAGUUGGUGAGGUAACGGCCCACCAAGGCGACGAUCCGUAGCUGGUCUGAGAGGAUGAUCAGCCACACUGGGACUGAGACACGGCCCAGACUCCUACGGAGGCAGCAGUGGGAAUAUUGGACAAUGGGCGAAAGCCUGAUCCAGCCAUGCCGCGUGAGUGAAGAAGGCCUUAGGGCUGUAAAGCUCUUUCAGC
RNAcentral lists this ribosomal RNA (384 nucleotides) under uncultured bacterium. Its description in RNAcentral is "bacterial SSU rRNA". It matches the Rfam family "Bacterial small subunit ribosomal RNA", at positions 29 to 440 of the family's 1533-position model. The record is from RNAcentral.